UGCCAGCAUCCUCGGUAAUACGGAGGGGGCUAACGUUGUUCGGAAUUACUGGGCGUAAAGGGUCUGUAGGUUGUUGGUUAAGUCUAUGGUCAAAUUCCGAAGCUCAACUUCGGGCCGGCACUAGAAACUAAUCAACUUGAGUACGUUAGAGGCAGGGGGAAUUCCCAGUGUAGCGGUGAAAUGCGUAGAUAUUGGGAGGAACAUCAAUGGCGAAGGCACCCUGCUAGGCCGAUACUGACACUGAAAGACGAAAGCUAGGGGAGCAAAUGGGAUUAGAUA
Molecule: ribosomal RNA, 279 nt
Filed under: uncultured bacterium
Lineage: Bacteria
Description: partial 16S ribosomal RNA
Rfam family: Bacterial small subunit ribosomal RNA
Source: RNAcentral